RNAcentral lists this ribosomal RNA (497 nucleotides) under uncultured bacterium. Its description in RNAcentral is "partial 16S ribosomal RNA". It matches the Rfam family "Bacterial small subunit ribosomal RNA", at positions 28 to 507 of the family's 1533-position model. The record is from RNAcentral.
GACGAACGCUGGCGGCGUGCCUAAUACAUGCAAGUAGAACGCUGAAGAGAGGAGCUUGCUCUUCUUGGAUGAGUUGCGAACGGGUGAGUAACGCGUAGGUAACCUGCCUUUUAGCGGGGGAUAACUAUUGGAAACGAUAGCUAAUACCGCAUAACAAUGGAUGACACAUGUCAUUUAUUUGAAAGGGGCAAUUGUUCCACUACAAGAUGGACCUGCGUUGUAUUAGCUAGUAGGUGAGGUAAUGGCUCACCUAGGCGACGAUACAUAGCCGACCUGAGAGGGUGAUCGGCCACACUGGGACUGAGACACGGCCCAGACUCCUACGGGAGGCAGCAGUAGGGAAUCUUCGGCAAUGGGGGCAACCCUGACCGAGCAACGCCGCGUGAGUGAAGAAGGUUUUCGGAUCGUAAAGCUCUGUUGUAAGUCAAGAACGGGUGUGAGAGUGGAAAGUUCACACUGUGACGGUAGCUUACCAGAAAGGGACGGCUAACUACGUG